This 765-nucleotide ribosomal RNA is filed under the name Phocaeicola dorei. RNAcentral's name for it is "bacterial SSU rRNA". It matches the Rfam family "Bacterial small subunit ribosomal RNA", at positions 24 to 779 of the family's 1533-position model. The record is from RNAcentral. Lineage: Bacteria; Pseudomonadati; Bacteroidota; Bacteroidia; Bacteroidales; Bacteroidaceae.
UCAGGAUGAACGCUAGCUACAGGCUUAACACAUGCAAGUCGAGGGGCAGCAUGGUCUUAGCUUGCUAAGGCCGAUGGCGACCGGCGCACGGGUGAGUAACACGUAUCCAACCUGCCGUCUACUCUUGGACAGCCUUCUGAAAGGAAGAUUAAUACAAGAUGGCAUCAUGAGUCCGCAUGUUCACAUGAUUAAAGGUAUUCCGGUAGACGAUGGGGAUGCGUUCCAUUAGAUAGUAGGCGGGGUAACGGCCCACCUAGUCUUCGAUGGAUAGGGGUUCUGAGAGGAAGGUCCCCCACAUUGGAACUGAGACACGGUCCAAACUCCUACGGGAGGCAGCAGUGAGGAAUAUUGGUCAAUGGGCGAGAGCCUGAACCAGCCAAGUAGCGUGAAGGAUGACUGCCCUAUGGGUUGUAAACUUCUUUUAUAAAGGAAUAAAGUCGGGUAUGGAUACCCGUUUGCAUGUACUUUAUGAAUAAGGAUCGGCUAACUCCGUGCCAGCAGCCGCGGUAAUACGGAGGAUCCGAGCGUUAUCCGGAUUUAUUGGGUUUAAAGGGAGCGUAGAUGGAUGUUUAAGUCAGUUGUGAAAGUUUGCGGCUCAACCGUAAAAUUGCAGUUGAUACUGGAUAUCUUGAGUGCAGUUGAGGCAGGCGGAAUUCGUGGUGUAGCGGUGAAAUGCUUAGAUAUCACGAAGAACUCCGAUUGCGAAGGCAGCCUGCUAAGCUGCAACUGACAUUGAGGCUCGAAAGUGUGGGUAUCAACAGGAUA